RNA transcript from Pseudomyrmex gracilis, 1436 nucleotides. It is a transcript of the gene named SPRY domain-containing SOCS box protein 3-like, with no coding region annotated. The transcript has 5 exons. Lineage: Eukaryota; Metazoa; Arthropoda; Insecta; Hymenoptera; Formicidae. The record is from RefSeq and is a predicted model, not a curated record.
GCGCCCACAGUGUCCACUAGUGUGAAUGAAACACACUGAUAUGCUCUUUCUCACACAUGAAAAACUCACAUCUGCAAAGCGCUUUCCAUACUUACUGCGUUCAAUUUGAGAAGAAAAUUUUACUGCACAUAGACAAAGAAAAGCGGACAAAGUGCGUAUAGCGUUGCGUGUGGGAUUGGCGGGACACUUCCUGACAGCCAAUGGUUGUGGAUUGGAAGGACUUUCUAGUAAGGGAAGUGCGCAAAACGGAUGAGUUUUGGUUUUUCCGGUUUUUCUUCUCAAAUAGAACGCAGCAUAAGCGCUGAAUUCUGCCGAAACGCAGCCAUUGGCUACCAGCGGAGUGUUCCGCACGCUAUCCCCACUUUUGCUCGCUUUUCUACCUUUAUGCGCAAUAGAAUUUUCUUUUCAAUGUAAACCACGUGGAUGUAAAAAGAAGAAGAGUUUCUUAUUUGCACAAAACCAAAGAAAGAAGAAGAGAUAAAGAAAUCUAAUACAACACUUUGUGAAGAAACGGAAACAUCAGAAAUUAAAACAAAAUGGAAAAGUUGGAAUCACUAAUUCAUGAAUGGGCUUGGGAUACAAAUGUUGUUAACUCCUCUUGUUGUUCGAGUGGAGUUAUGUUUUCGGAUGAAAACUCAAACGUUGUGAUUACUAGUUCGGAGAAAACUGUGUUAAAAGGUGAUAAGCCAUUCGAAAAAGGAAGACAUCACUUUUGGUCGAUUUAUAUAACGGGACUACGAGAUUAUAAGAUAAUAAGUCUAACUUUUGUAAGUGACUGUUCACACAGUGUUUUGUUUUGUGUUACACGCACUAAAUGUGUUUUGUUUCGUGCAUAUGCGCGCAUUUAUCCAUACACGUCACGUAUACUGUAGAGUAGAUCAUGCGUGUAUAUGCAUGAAACGGUACGUGUUUUAUAUCGCGUCUAAUCUUUCGCGUUUUGAACUUUAAAACGCAAUAUUUUGGAAACCGUGAAGCUAAGCUUUCUGAAAUUCAACUAUAAUAUAGAAUACAUCUAGGAAUACAUUUUGACACUUGGACUGGUAUUUUACGCUUUUUAUAUAAUCGACGUCCAUUAGAUAUUAUGUUUAGAAAUCUGAACAAUGAUACAUUUUAUCCAGUAAUAGAACAUCUUAACAAUAUAAUAAGAUGUUACAUAAGAGCUCCUCGAGAGACACCUACCAAUAUAAAAUUAACUUAUAGCGUGUCGAUGCCAGUAUCUUUACAAAGUGCCUGCCUAAAAGUCUUAACACCUUCGCAAAAACAGAUACUGCGGAAAAAGUUUCCUGGUUUGCGUCAUCUUUGUCAAUAUGCUACUUUGCUUCAGAAAUCACAUCAAUGAUUGUAACAUAUGCUUACGUAAGAACAGAUAUAUGUUUUUUGCAUCUGAAUGAUUAUGCAAUUAAGAAUUAAUAAACAAUAAAAAAAGUUUUUCGGAA